RNAcentral lists this ribosomal RNA (342 nucleotides) under uncultured Endozoicomonas sp. RNAcentral's name for it is "bacterial SSU rRNA". It matches the Rfam family "Bacterial small subunit ribosomal RNA", at positions 14 to 353 of the family's 1533-position model. Lineage: Bacteria; Pseudomonadati; Pseudomonadota; Gammaproteobacteria; Oceanospirillales; Endozoicomonadaceae. The record is from RNAcentral.
UGAUCCUGGCUCAGAUUGAACGCUGGCGGCAGGCCUAACACAUGCAAGUCGAGCGGUAGCGGGAAGAGCUUGCUCUUUGCCGACGAGCGGCGGACGGGUGCGUAACACGUAGGAAUCUGCCCGGUAGUGGGGGAUAGCCCGGAGAAAUCCGGAUUAAUACCGCAUACGCCCUAAGGGGGAAAGCAGGGGAUCUUCGGACCUUGCGCUAUCGGAUGAGCCUGCGUCGGAUUAGCUUGUUGGUGGGGUAAAAGGCCUACCAAGGCGACGAUCCGUAGCUGGUCUGAGAGGAUGAUCAGCCACACUGGGACUGAGACACGGCCCAGACUCCUACGGGAGGCAGCA